GGAAUAUUGGACAAUGGGUGAAAGCCUGAUCCAGCCAUCCCGCGUGAAGGAUGACGGUCCUAUGGAUUGUAAACUUCUUUUGUAUAGGGAUAAACCUAGAUACGUGUAUCUAGCUGAAGGUACUAUACGAAUAAGCACCGGCUAACUCCGUGCCAGCAGCCGCGGUAAUACGGAGGGUGCAAGCGUUAUCCGGAUUUAUUGGGUUUAAAGGGUCCGUAGGCGGACCGAUAAGUCAGUGGUGAAAUCUCAUAGCUUAACUAUGAAACUGCCAUUGAUACUGUCGGUCUUGAGUAAAUUAGAGGUAGCUGGAAUAAGUAGUGUAGCGGUGAAAUGCAUAGAUAUUACUUAGAACACCAAUUGCGAAGGCAGGUUACCAUGAUUUAACUGACGCUGAGGGACGAAAGCGUGGGUAGCGAACAGGAUUAGAUACCCCUG
This 435-nucleotide ribosomal RNA is filed under the name uncultured Chryseobacterium sp. RNAcentral's name for it is "bacterial SSU rRNA". It matches the Rfam family "Bacterial small subunit ribosomal RNA", at positions 358 to 789 of the family's 1533-position model. Lineage: Bacteria; Pseudomonadati; Bacteroidota; Flavobacteriia; Flavobacteriales; Weeksellaceae. The record is from RNAcentral.